ACAUGUUACAGGUCUUUCAGAAUUUGUCUAGUAUGUUUUCCAGUUCUUACUAGAAGAUUCCA
This 62-nucleotide small nuclear RNA is filed under the name Carlito syrichta (Philippine tarsier). RNAcentral describes it as "U7 small nuclear RNA (ENSTSYG00000026974.1)". It matches the Rfam family "U7 small nuclear RNA". Rfam says of the family: Animal histone pre-mRNAs are spliced by a different mechanism than nuclear pre-mRNAs and self-splicing introns. This processing involves the U7 snRNP, which contains only one RNA species: U7. The 5' end of U7 RNA is thought to base-pair to a conserved spacer element downstream of the cleavage site in histone pre-mRNA. Lineage: Eukaryota; Metazoa; Chordata; Mammalia; Primates; Tarsiidae. The record is from Rfam by way of RNAcentral.